GACGAACGCUGGCGGCGUGCCUAACACAUGCAAGUCGAGCGAGAAUCUUUCAUUAGAACCCUUCGGGGUGAAGAUGGAAGAGGAGAGCGGCGGACGGGUGAGUAACGCGUGAGCAACCUGCCUUAAGGAGGGGGAUAACACAGGGAAACCUGUGCUAAUACCGCAUAAUAUAUUGAAACCGCAUGGUUUUAAUAUCAAAACUGAGGUGCCUUAAGAUGGGCUCGCGUCCAAUUAGCUAGUUGGAGGGGUAACGGCCCACCAAGGCAACGAUUGGUAGCCGGACUGAGAGGUUGAACGGCCACAUUGGAACUGAGAAACGGUCCAGACUCCUACGGGAGGCAGCAGUGGGGGAUAUUGCGCAAUGGGGGAAACCCUGACGCAGCAACGCCGCGUGAAGGAAGAAGGCCUUCGGGUUGUAAACUUUUGUCUUUUGGGAAGAAGAA
Molecule: ribosomal RNA, 443 nt
Filed under: uncultured bacterium
Lineage: Bacteria
Description: bacterial SSU rRNA
Rfam family: Bacterial small subunit ribosomal RNA
Source: RNAcentral